RNAcentral lists this unclassified non-coding RNA (861 nucleotides) under Amphibalanus amphitrite. Its description in RNAcentral is "glycine-rich protein 23-like, transcript variant X2". The record is from RNAcentral. Lineage: Eukaryota; Metazoa; Arthropoda; Thecostraca; Balanomorpha; Balanidae.
CUACCUACUCAUUGUUUACGUUUGCUUGUGGUGUUUGAAGGUCAGAGUGAGCGAGAGAGUGAGAGAAUACGAGGGGGAGGCGUGUGGAAACAUGUAGGAAAGGAGUCAUUUUGUGAUGUGAUCAGCGCUCUCCUGGCCGUGUGCGUUCUGUUCGCCGCAGUGUCAUGCACUGUGGCCACUAAGGGCAAGGGCGGCGGCGGCGGCGGCUACCAGUCCGUCCACGUCGUCCACGUCCCGGUCAUCCACCGCUAUGUGCCAGUGCCGGUCUACCACGGCUACGGCGGCUACGGCAAGGGCCACGCCGUCGGCUAUGGUGGCGGCUUCGGCAAGGGUGGCGGCUUCGGCCACGGAGGUGGUUUCGGCAAGGGUGGUGGUUUCGGAAAGGGUGGCGGUUUCGGCUACGGACCCGCCCCCGUUCGCUACGGAAGUUACAGUUAUUAGAGACAUUAGAAUUGAGUUAGGCUGAAGGCCAGAAGUAUUGUGGGUGUCAACUUGCUCAUCCGGUUAUGUGUGUGCAAUGUUGCUGUUCUUUGUGCAAACCAUGACUGCCAGACAAUGGUGGUUGGGUGAUACUAGACCUCUGUAUACCGAGGUCUAUGGAGAUACUCAUUGGUAACGUUCUCCGAACAUGUGCUGCUCUUUUAUUAUGCAAGUGUCAUCGAAAGUCUCUCAUAUCAUAUGUGAAUGCGAUGUAUUUACUUGUGGUGACAUUCCCUGAUCCACAUCAAUUGCCUAUCAUACUUGUGUUUACCAUGAAAAGCAGAGGUCUUUGCAUGUUCUUGCGUUCGCAUUUUGAUUAUGUCUUCCACCACCCAAAUGUAUCCAAUUGUCUCUGAUAAAUACACAACAAAUGCCCGAAAA